This 799-nucleotide ribosomal RNA is filed under the name uncultured crenarchaeote. Its description in RNAcentral is "bacterial SSU rRNA". It matches the Rfam family "Archaeal small subunit ribosomal RNA", at positions 52 to 859 of the family's 1478-position model. The record is from RNAcentral. Lineage: Archaea; Thermoproteati; Thermoproteota.
UGCGAGUCAACGUAGCAAUACGUGGCAUACGGCUCAGUAACACGUAGUCAACAUGCCCAGGGGACGUGGAUAACCUCGGGAAACUGAGGAUAAACCACGAUAGGUCAUAAUAUCUGGAAUGAUUUAUGGCUAAAAUCUACAUGGCCCCUGGAUUGGACUGCGGCCGAUCAGGCUGUUGGUGAGGUAAUGGCCCACCAAACCUAAAACCGGUACGGGCUCUGAGAGGAGAAGCCCGGAGAUGGGCACUGAGACAAGGGCCCAGGCCCUAUGGGGCGCAGCAGGCGCGAAAACUCUGCAAUAAGCGAAAGCUUGACAGGGUUAUUCUGAGUGAUUUCCGCUAAGGAAAUCUUUUGGCACCUCUAAAAAUGGUGCAGAAUAAGGGGUGGGCAAGCCUGGUGUCAGCCGCCGCGGUAAUACCAGCACCCCGAGUGGUCGGGACGAUUAUUGGGCCUAAAGCAUCCGUAGCCGGUUCUACAAGUCUUCCGUUAAAUCCAUCUGCUUAACAGAUGGGCUGCGGAGGAUACUAUGGAGCUAGGAGGCGGGAGAGGCAAGCGGUACUUAGUGGGUAGGGGUAAAAUCCGUUGAUCCACUGAAGACCACCAGUGGCGAAGGCGGCUUGCCAGAACGCGCUCGACGGUGAGGGAUGAAAGCUGGGGGAGCAAACCGGAUUAGAUACCCGGGUAGUCCCAGCUGUAAACGAUGCAGACUCGGUGAUGAAUAGGCUUCGUGCCUUUUCAGUGCCGCAGGGAAGCCGUUAAGUCUGCCGCCCGGGGAGUACGGUCGCAAGACUGAAACUUAA